GGGUUGUGAGGUUAAGCGACUAAGCGUACACGGUGGAUGCCCCGCAGUCAGAGGCGAUGAAGGACGUGCUAAUCUGCGAUAAGCGUCGGUAAGGUGAUAUGAACCGUUAUAACCGGCGAUUUCCGAAUGGGGAAACCCAGUGUGAUUCGUCACACUAUCAUUAACUGAAUCCAUAGGUUAAUGAGGCGAACCGGGGGAACUGAAACAUCUAAGUACCCCGAGGAAAAGAAAUCAACCGAGAUUCCCCAGUAGCGGCGAGCGAACGGGGAGCAGCCCAGAGCCUGAAUCAGUGUGUGUGUUAGUGGAAGCGUCUGGAAAGGCGUGCGAUACAGGGUGACAGCCCCGUACACAAAAAUGCACAUACUGUGAGCUCGAUGAGUAGGGCGGGACACGUGGUAUCCUGUCUGAAUAUGGGGGGACCAUCCUCCAAGGCUAAAUACUCCUGACUGACCGAUAGUGAACCAGUACCGUGAGGGAAAGGCGAAAAGAACCCCGGCGAGGGGAGUGAAAAAGAACCUGAAACCGUGUACGUACAAGCAGUGGGAGCACGCUUAGGCGUGUGACUGCGUACCUUUUGUAUAAUGGGUCAGCGACUUAUAUUCUGUAGCAAGGUUAACCGAAUAGGGAGCCGAAGGGAAACCGAGUCUUAACUGGGCGUUAAGUUGCAGGGUAUAGACCCGAAACCCGGUGAUCUAGCCAUGGGCAGGUUGAAGGUUGGGUAACACUAACUGGAGGACCGAACCGACUAAUGUUGAAAAAUUAGCGGAUGACUUGUGGCUGGGGGUGAAAGGCCAAUCAAACCGGGAGAUAGCUGGUUCUCCCCGAAAGCUAUUUAGGUAGCGCCUCGUGAAUUCAUCUCCGGGGGUAGAGCACUGUUUCGGCAAGGGGGUCAUCCCGACUUACCAACCCGAUGCAAACUGCGAAUACCGGAGAAUGUUAUCACGGGAGACACACGGCGGGUGCUAACGUCCGUCGUGAAGAGGGAAACAACCCAGACCGCCAGCUAAGGUCCCAAAGUCAUGGUUAAGUGGGAAACGAUGUGGGAAGGCCCAGACAGCCACGAUGUUGGCUUAGAAGCAGCCAUCAUUUAAAGAAAGCGUAAUAGCUCACUGGUCGAGUCGGCCUGCGCGGAAGAUGUAACGGGGCUAAACCAUGCACCGAAGCUGCGGCAGCGACGCUUAUGCGUUGUUGGGUAGGGGAGCGUUCUGUAAGCCUGUGAAGGUGUGCUGUGAGGUAUGCUGGAGGUAUCAGAAGUGCGAAUGCUGACAUAAGUAACGAUAAAGCGGGUGAAAAGCCCGCUCGCCGGAAGACCAAGGGUUCCUGUCCAACGUUAAUCGGGGCAGGGUGAGUCGACCCCUAAGGCGAGGCCGAAAGGCGUAGUCGAUGGGAAACAGGUUAAUAUUCCUGUACUUGGUGUUACUGCGAAGGGGGGACGGAGAAGGCUAUGUUGGCCGGGCGACGGUUGUCCCGGUUUAAGCGUGUAGGCUGGUUUUCCGUGCAAAUCCGGAAAAUCAAGGCCGAGGCGUGAUGACGAGGCACUACGGUGCUGAAGCAACAAAUGCCCUGCUUCCGUGGAAAAGCCUCUAAGCAUCAGGUAACAUCAAAUCGUACCCCAAACCGACACAGGUGGUCAGGUAGAGAAUACCAAGGCGCUUGAGAGAACUCGGGUGAAGGAACUAGGCAAAAUGGUGCCGUAACUUCGGGAGAAGGCACGCUGAUACGUAGGUGAAGCGACUUGCUCGUGGAGCUGAAAUCAGUCGAAGAUACCAGCUGGCUGCAACUGUUUAUUAAAAACACAGCACUGUGCAAACACGAAAGUGGACGUAUACGGUGUGACGCCUGCCCGGUGCCGGAAGGUUAAUUGAUGGGGUUAGCGCAAGCGAAGCUCUUGAUCGAAGCCCCGGUAAACGGCGGCCGUAACUAUAACGGUCCUAAGGUAGCGAAAUUCCUUGUCGGGUAAGUUCCGACCUGCACGAAUGGCGUAAUGAUGGCCAGGCUGUCUCCACCCGAGACUCAGUGAAAUUGAACUCGCUGUGAAGAUGCAGUGUACCCGCGGCAAGACGGAAAGACCCCGUGAACCUUUACUAUAGCUUGACACUGAACAUUGAGCCUUGAUGUGUAGGAUAGGUGGGAGGCUUUGAAGUGUGGACGCCAGUCUGCAUGGAGCCGACCUUGAAAUACCACCCUUUAAUGUUUGAUGUUCUAACGUGGACCCGUGAUCCGGGUUGCGGACAGUGUCUGGUGGGUAGUUUGACUGGGGCGGUCUCCUCCUAAAGAGUAACGGAGGAGCACGAAGGUUGGCUAAUCCUGGUCGGACAUCAGGAGGUUAGUGCAAUGGCAUAAGCCAGCUUGACUGCGAGCGUGACGGCGCGAGCAGGUGCGAAAGCAGGUCAUAGUGAUCCGGUGGUUCUGAAUGGAAGGGCCAUCGCUCAACGGAUAAAAGGUACUCCGGGGAUAACAGGCUGAUACCGCCCAAGAGUUCAUAUCGACGGCGGUGUUUGGCACCUCGAUGUCGGCUCAUCACAUCCUGGGGCUGAAGUAGGUCCCAAGGGUAUGGCUGUUCGCCAUUUAAAGUGGUACGCGAGCUGGGUUUAGAACGUCGUGAGACAGUUCGGUCCCUAUCUGCCGUGGGCGCUGGAGAACUGAGGGGGGCUGCUCCUAGUACGAGAGGACCGGAGUGGACGCAUCACUGGUGUUCGGGUUGUCAUGCCAAUGGCACUGCCCGGUAGCUAAAUGCGGAAGAGAUAAGUGCUGAAAGCAUCUAAGCACGAAACUUGCCCCGAGAUGAGUUCUCCCUGACCCUUUAAGGGUCCUGAAGGAACGUUGAAGACGACGACGUUGAUAGGCCGGGUGUGUAAGCGCAGCGAUGCGUUGAGCUAACCGGUACUAAUGAACCGUGAGGCUUAACCUUACAACGCCGAAG
Molecule: ribosomal RNA, 2923 nt
Filed under: Shigella flexneri
Lineage: Bacteria; Pseudomonadati; Pseudomonadota; Gammaproteobacteria; Enterobacterales; Enterobacteriaceae
Description: 23S ribosomal RNA
Rfam family: Bacterial large subunit ribosomal RNA
Source: RNAcentral